CACNCCAACCCAUGUGACCAUACCAAACUGUUGCCUCGGCGGGGUCACGCCCCGGGCUAGANNGNNGCCCCGGAACCAGGCGCCCGCCGGAGGGACCAACCAAACUCUUUCUGUAGUCCCCUSGSGGACGUUAUUUCUUACAGCUCUGAGCAAAAAUUCAAAAUGAAUCAAAACUUUCAACAACGGAUCUCUUGGUUCUGGCAUCGAUGAAGAACGCAGCGAAAUGCGAUAAGUAAUGUGAAUUGCAGAAUUCAGUGAAUCAUCGAAUCUUUGAACGCACAUUGCGCCCGCCAGUAUUCUGGCGGGCAUGCCUGUCCGAGCGUCAUUUCAACCCUCGAACCCCUCCGGGGGUCCGGCGUUGGGGAUCGGGAACCCCUAAGACGGGAUCCCGGCCCCGAAAUACAGUGGCGGUCUCGCCGCAGCCUCUCAUGCGCAGUAGUUUGCACAACUCGCACCGGGAGCGCGGCGCGUCCACGUCCGUAAAACACCCAACUUCUGAAAUGUUGACCUCGGAUCAGGUAGGAAUACCCGCUGAACUUAAGCAUAUCAAUA
RNAcentral lists this ribosomal RNA (552 nucleotides) under Trichoderma sp. AH-Group-9. RNAcentral's name for it is "eukaryotic LSU rRNA". The stretch from base 172 to 325 matches the Rfam family "5.8S ribosomal RNA". Lineage: Eukaryota; Fungi; Ascomycota; Sordariomycetes; Hypocreales; Hypocreaceae. The record is from RNAcentral.